Molecule: long non-coding RNA, 402 nt
Filed under: Phoenix dactylifera (date palm)
Lineage: Eukaryota; Viridiplantae; Streptophyta; Magnoliopsida; Arecales; Arecaceae
Description: long non-coding RNA (PDAC_LNC011599)
Source: RNAcentral
CUUUUGAAAUUUUUAGCACUUAUGCAUUUGAAAUUAGAUUUUAUAAAGCAAUAAAACAAAUUCAUUAGGUAGAGACAGCAGUUUGUGGGUAUCUGAGCCGGAAACCCUCACGAGAUAAAACUCGUCCACUAGGGCCACCUAGGGGUUUAAAGCCUUAUUGCAUACGGUAAAUGCAAUCGCGAUUCCUGCGAAAGUGAGUUAGUUUUUAUUUUGCUCGAGGACUAGCAAAAUGUAGGUUUGGGAGUGUGAUAAGUACUAAAUAAUGCAUAAACUAAUAUCUUAUUCAUAGCACUUAUCAUUAUUUUAACCGCAUAUUUUAUAAAUUUAACUAAAAAAAUGUGUUUUCCUUCAUCAUUUCAUUUUAAAUAAAUUAUUCAAGUUUGAUUCUUUUUAUUAUUAUUA